CCUACGGGUGGCAGCAGUGAGGAAUAUUGGUCAAUGGACGAGAGUCUGAACCAGCCAAGUAGCGUGAAGGAUGACUGCCCUAUGGGUUGUAAACUUUUUUUAUAUGGGAAUAAAAUGUUCCACGUGUGGGAUUUUGUAUGUACCAUAUGAAUAAGGAACGGCUAAUUCGGUGCCAGCAGCCGCGGUAAUACGGAGGUUCCGAGCGUUAUCCGGAUUUAUUGGGUUUAAAGGGAGCGUAGGUGGAUUGUUAAGUCAGUUGUGAAAGUUUACGGCUCAACCGUGGAAUUGCAGUUGAAACUGGCAGUCUUGAGUACAGUAGAGGUGAGCGGAAUACGUGGUGUAGCGGUGAAAUGCUUAGAUAUCGCGAAGAACUCCGAUUGCGAAGGCAGCUCUCUGGACUGCAACUGACGCUGAGGCUCGAAAGUAUGGGUAUCAAACAGGAUUAGAUACCCGAGUAGUC
Molecule: ribosomal RNA, 460 nt
Filed under: uncultured bacterium
Lineage: Bacteria
Description: partial 16S ribosomal RNA
Rfam family: Bacterial small subunit ribosomal RNA
Source: RNAcentral